GACGAACGCUGGCGGCGUGGAUUAGGCAUGCAAGUCGAACGGUAUCAUCCUUUCGGGGGUGAGAGAGUGGCGAACUGGUGAGUAACACGUAGGUUAUCUACCCUCAAGACGGGGACAACCCAGGGAAACUUGGGCUAAUACCGGAUGUGAGCAACUUUUAGUUGUUUGAAAGGUGGCGUAAGCUGUCGCUUGGGGAUGAGCCUGCGUCCUAUUAGUUAGUUGGUGAGGUAACGGCUCACCUAGGCAAUGAUAGGUAGGCGGCCUUAACGGGUGGUCGCCCACACUGGGAUUGAGAUACGGCCCAGACUCCUACGGGAGGCAGCAGUCGAGAAUAGUCUACAAUGGUCGGAAGACUGAUAGUGCGACGCCGCGUGAACGAUGAAUCCCUUCGGGGUGUAAAGUUUCUUUUAUAUGUGAGCAGUGCUUCUUAUAUUAACAGUAUGGGGAGAGAGAUAUUAGCAUAUGAAUAAGCAACGGCUAACUCCGUGCCAGCAGCCGCGGUAAUA
RNAcentral lists this ribosomal RNA (506 nucleotides) under uncultured bacterium. Its description in RNAcentral is "bacterial SSU rRNA". It matches the Rfam family "Bacterial small subunit ribosomal RNA", at positions 28 to 525 of the family's 1533-position model. The record is from RNAcentral.